CAGAGUUACCACUCUUUUAGAAUUUGUCUAGCAGGUUUUCUGUUUUUUUUUCUGGGACCACCACA
This is a small nuclear RNA of Echinops telfairi (small Madagascar hedgehog), 65 nucleotides long. RefSeq annotates it as U7 small nuclear RNA. The record is from RefSeq and is a predicted model, not a curated record. The transcript has a single exon. NCBI's taxonomy places the organism in Eukaryota, Metazoa, Chordata, Mammalia, Afrosoricida, Tenrecidae.